ACAAUUAGUGUGACAAGAACAAGUGAGUGUGAUUGUGUGAACAGAUUCAACAAUGGACACAGCAGGGAACACUAUAUAAUAUACUUAGGGCAAACCAUUAACAUAUAACGUUGCAAAUAUACUAUACUUAAUGCCAUUACAAUACUUAUAAUAGCCCUGAGCAAAUUCAAAAUUGGUUUAGAUCAAUGGUCAUACCAUGGUUGGCUGUGCAGCGUUUGGAUGCUCCAAUCGGUCCGAGAAGGGUUACCACAUGUAUGGCUUCCCCAAGGACCAAGAGCGCAGGAAGAAAUGGAUGGCAAUGGUCAGCCGUCAAAACGUACAAUUGACAGGGGUCAGCAACCGUCAAAAACUAUGUAAUGUAAGUAAUGUUCACAUCACUUGAUAGCAUUUCAAAGGGCAUAAUAAUUCUAAGUGUAGAGAAUUAUGACUUUUCAAUGAUAUUUGAAGUGCAAUGGAAACUGAUCUUACAAGCCUACCUAUAAGGUACACUUUGAAGAUGACCAAUUCACUGCCACAAAAAGAGAAGGGAUGUUGAAGCUGAGGCCCGAUGCAGUCCCAACAGUUUUCAUUCAUCGCCCUAAGCCGAAGAGGAGGAAACCCCCUUCUGUGAGGGUGCCUCCAGAACCAAGUGCAACGGACCACACAUAUUUCACCAAAUUAAACUUCGAGAUUGAGGGAGAAAUUGAGGUGGAUUUCAAGAGCGAUGAAAAGGACAUGACAGGAGACACAGAGAGCAAUCAAGAGGCCACUUUGCCAGGGGCAGGUGAUUCAGGGGCAGGUGAUUCAGGGGCAGCUGCUCCAGGGCCAGCUGCUCAAGGGCCAGCUGCUCCAGGGACCAGACUGCCAGGGACUGAUGGGGCGACUGUGGAGGACCUAAUAAGGCAACUAGAAAAGGAAAAAUUAAUGAGAAGGAGAGCAGAGA
Gadus macrocephalus (Pacific cod) is the source of this 922-nucleotide long non-coding RNA. RefSeq lists it as uncharacterized. The transcript has 2 exons. The record is from RefSeq and is a predicted model, not a curated record. NCBI's taxonomy places the organism in Eukaryota, Metazoa, Chordata, Actinopteri, Gadiformes, Gadidae.